Molecule: ribosomal RNA, 495 nt
Filed under: uncultured bacterium
Lineage: Bacteria
Description: partial 16S ribosomal RNA
Rfam family: Bacterial small subunit ribosomal RNA
Source: RNAcentral
GACGAACGCUGGCGGCGUGCCUAAUACAUGCAAGUAGAACGCUGAAGGAGGAGCUUGCUCUUCUGGAUGAGUUGCGAACGGGUGAGUAACGCGUAGGUAACCUGCCUGGUAGCGGGGGAUAACUAUUGGAAACGAUAGCUAAUACCGCAUAAGAGUAGAUGUUGCAUGACAUUUGCUUAAAAGGUGCAAUUGCAUCACUACCAGAUGGACCUGCGUUGUAUUAGCUAGUUGGUGGGGUAACGGCUCACCAAGGCGACGAUACAUAGCCGACCUGAGAGGGUGAUCGGCCACACUGGGACUGAGACACGGCCCAGACUCCUACGGGAGGCAGCAGUAGGGAAUCUUCGGCCAUGGACGGAAGUCUGACCGAGCAACGCCGCGGGAGUGAAGAAGGGUUUCGGAUCGUAAAGCUCUGUUGUAAGAGAAGAACGAGUGUGAGAGUGGAAAGUUCACACUGUGACGGUACCUUACCAGAAAGGGACGGCUAACUACGUG